CAGUAGCCACGGUAAAACGAAGGGGGCUAGCGUUGCUCGGAAUGACUGGGCGUAAAGGGCGCGUAGGCGGAUUGUUUAGUUAGGCGUGAAAUUCCUGGGCUUAACCUGGGGACUGCGCUUAAUACAGGCAGUCUAGAGUGAGGAAGAGGGUUGUGGAAUUCCCAGUGUAGAGGUGAAAUUCGUAGAUAUUGGGAAGAACACCGGUGGCGAAGGCGGCAACCUGGUCCUUGACUGACGCUGAGGCGCGAAAGCGUGGGGAGCAAACAGGAUUAGAUACCCCAGUAGUCCCUGUCUCUUAUAA
This 301-nucleotide ribosomal RNA is filed under the name uncultured bacterium. RNAcentral's name for it is "partial 16S ribosomal RNA". It matches the Rfam family "Bacterial small subunit ribosomal RNA", at positions 509 to 809 of the family's 1533-position model. The record is from RNAcentral.